RNAcentral lists this long non-coding RNA (1036 nucleotides) under Anas platyrhynchos platyrhynchos (common mallard). Its description in RNAcentral is "lncRNA (ENSAPLG00000031217.1)". The record is from RNAcentral. Lineage: Eukaryota; Metazoa; Chordata; Aves; Anseriformes; Anatidae.
UGGGGAGGAGCCCCGCUAGACCUUCUCUUCACAAACAGAGAAGGACUGGUGGGAGAUGUGGUGGUCGGAAGCUGUGUUGGGCAGAGUGACCAGGAAAUGGUGGAGUUCUCUAUUCUUGGCAAGGCCAGGAAAGGGACCAGUAAAACCGCUGUAUUGGACUUCUGGAGGGCUGACUUUGAGCAGCUCAGGACACUGGUUGGUAGAGUCUGUUGGGAGGCGGUUCUGAAGGGCAGGGGAGUCCAGGAAGGCUGGGCACUCUUCAAGAAGGAAAUCUUAAUGGCGCUGGACCAGUCUGUUCCCACGUGCCCAAAGACAAGCCGGCGUGGAAGAAGACAGGCCUGGCUCAACAGAAAGUUGCAGCUUGAGUUUAGGAGAAAAAAGAGGGUUUAUAAUCUUUGGAAAAAAGGACGGGCCACUGAGGAGGACUAUAAGGAUAUUAGGAGGCUGUGCAGGGGCAGAAUUAGAAAGGGUAAAGCACAUCUGGAGCUCAAUUUGGAUACUGCCGUUAAAGACAACAAAAAAUCUUUUUACAAAUACAUCAAUGCAAAAUGGAGGACUAGGGAGAAUCUCCAUCCUUUACUGGAUGUGGGGGGAAACCUUGUUACAAAAGAUGAGGAAAAGGUGGAGGUGCUUAAUGCCUUCUUCGCCUCAGUCUUUAGCAGCAAUACCAGUUGUUCUCUGGAUACCCAGUACCCUGAGCUGGUGGAAGGGGAUGGGGAACAGAAUGUGGCCCUCACUAUCCAUGAGGAAAUGGUUGACGACCUACUAUGGCACUUGGUUGUGCGCAAGUCGAUGGGGCUGGAUGGGAUCCACCCGAGGGUACUGAGAGAACUGUCAGAGGAGCUGGCCAAGCCACUAUCCAUCAUUUAUCAGCAGUCCUGGCUAUCGGGGGAGGUCCCAGUUGACUGGCGACUAGCAAAUGUGACGCCCAUCUACAAGAAGGGCCAGAGGGCAGAGCCAGGGAACUAUAGGCCUGUUAGUUUGAACUCAGUGCCAAGGAAGCUCAUGGAGAAGAUUAUCUUGGGUGUCAUCACUC